GCGAAGUUGGCGGAACGGCAGACGCGCCGGUUUUAGGAGCCGGUGGGCAACCGUGGGGGUUCGAAUCCCCCACUUCGCACCA
This 82-nucleotide transfer RNA is filed under the name Planctomycetota bacterium. RNAcentral describes it as "tRNA-Leu". It matches the Rfam family "tRNA". From Rfam's summary of the family: Transfer RNA (tRNA) molecules are approximately 80 nucleotides in length. Their secondary structure includes four short double-helical elements and three loops (D, anti-codon, and T loops). The record is from RNAcentral. Lineage: Bacteria; Pseudomonadati; Planctomycetota.